Molecule: long non-coding RNA, 648 nt
Organism: Hordeum vulgare subsp. vulgare (domesticated barley)
Lineage: Eukaryota; Viridiplantae; Streptophyta; Magnoliopsida; Poales; Poaceae
Exons: 2
Source: RefSeq, a predicted model, not a curated record
CUCACACCUCCUUCGUCCCCAUCUCCCACGGCCGGCGCACCUACCUCCCACGACCGGCGCUGCCCCAACCCCCUCCCACGGCCGAUGCGCCCCCAAGCCCCUCCAACCGACGACCUCCUACUGGUUGCCGCGGCCGGGUCCAACCUCCUGACGACCGGAUCCGCCAUGGCCCUGCCUCGCCGCCCUUCAACAGCCCCGUGGCGGAGAGGGGCGACGACCGGAUCUCGCCUUGCCCCACAUCUCCCCAGCAUUCCCCACCCGUUGUGGCCCAGGCGGUUGUAUCCCUUGUCGUUGUCGGGCUCCUCCUCCGUGGCAGCCACAGAAGGAGCAUGCACAACCUCUGCUCGCCUCUUCCAAUCCUCCUCCUCGGUUGUAGAGGGCGUUAGGAGGACGAGCCUUCACGUAAGCUCGCCGGAGACCUGGGGAAAAAUAGUGUUGCAGUUGUGUGAAAAAAAUUGGUUGAGGCAGCUGCAUGCAUUUCUAAAAUUUAUUUAGUGUAGUUCGGUAAUGUUUUGUUUUGCUGUGAUGACGUGUGGGUUGUCCCUCCUUUGUAUCUUUUGUGUAGUUCGACUCGUGAUCUUGUGAAGAUCCAAUGUACUGAUUUUUUUGCUCUAUAUUGGAGAGAAUCAAAUAGAGUGUGGAUCACUA